This 557-nucleotide ribosomal RNA is filed under the name uncultured archaeon. RNAcentral describes it as "bacterial SSU rRNA". It matches the Rfam family "Archaeal small subunit ribosomal RNA", at positions 321 to 879 of the family's 1478-position model. The record is from RNAcentral.
CCCUACGGGGCGCAGCAGGCGCGAAACCUUUACAAUGCACGAAAGUGUGAUAAGGGGACUCCGAGUGUCGGCAUCUAUGUCGACUGUCCAGAUACCUAAAAAGUAUCUGAUAGCAAGGGCCGGGUAAGACCGGUGCCAGCCGCCGCGGUAACACCGGCGGCUCGAGUGGUAGCCGCUAUUAUUGAGUCUAAAGCGUCAGUAGCCGGUCUGAAAAGUCCUUUGGGAAAUCCUACAGCUUAACUGUCGGGCUUCCAGAGGAGACUAUCGGACUUGAGACCGGGAGAGGUUGGAGGUACUUCAGGAGUAGGAGUGAAAUCCUGUGAUCCCUGGGAGACCACCAGUGGCGAAGGCGUCCAACUGGAACGGGUCUGACGGUGAGGGACGAAAGCUAGGGGCGCGAACCGGAUUAGAUACCCGGGUAGUCCUAGCCGUAAACGAUGUGAGCUAGGUGUCAGUCACACUGCGAGUGUAGCUGGUGCCGUAGGGAAGCCGUGAAGCUCACCACUUGGGAAGUACGGCCGCAAGGCUGAAACUUAAAGGAAUUGGCGGGGGAGCAC